AACGAACGCUGGCGGCAGGCCUAACACAUGCAAGUCGAACGCUCCGCAAGGGGAGUGGCGCACGGGUGAGUAACACGUGGGAACCUACCUUCUGGUACGGAACAACCAAGGGAAACUUUGGCUAAGACCGUAUACGACCUCCGGGUGAAGAUUGAUCGCCGGAAGAGGGGCCCGCGUCCGAUUAGGUAGUUGGUGAGGUAACGGCUCACCAAGCCUUCGAUCGGUAGCUGGUCUGAGAGGAUGACCAGCCACACUGGGACUGAGACACGGCCCAGACUCCUACGGGAGGCAGCAGUGGGGAAUAUUGGACAAUGGGCGCAAGCCUGAUCCAGCCAUGCCGCGUGAGUGAUGAAGGCC
RNAcentral lists this ribosomal RNA (357 nucleotides) under uncultured bacterium. RNAcentral describes it as "bacterial SSU rRNA". It matches the Rfam family "Bacterial small subunit ribosomal RNA", at positions 29 to 416 of the family's 1533-position model. The record is from RNAcentral.